GCCUCGCUAGCUCAAUGGCUAGAGCGUGAGACUUUUAAUCUCAAGGUUGCGGGUUCGACCCCCGCGUGAGGCU
Molecule: non-coding RNA, 73 nt
Organism: Pyronema omphalodes CBS 100304
Lineage: Eukaryota; Fungi; Ascomycota; Pezizomycetes; Pezizales; Pyronemataceae
Source: Rfam